CAGGUAAGGGUGAAAGGGUGCGGUAAGAGCGCACCGCGCGGCUGGUAACAGUCCGUGGCACGGUAAACUCCACCCGGAGCAAGGCCAAAUAGGGGUUCAUAAGGUACGGCCCGUACUGAACCCGGGUAGGCUGCUUGAGCCAGUGAGCGAUUGCUGGCCUAGAUGAAUGACUGUCCACGACAGAACCCGGCUUAUCGGUCAGUUUCACCU
Molecule: RNase P RNA, 210 nt
Filed under: Escherichia coli
Lineage: Bacteria; Pseudomonadati; Pseudomonadota; Gammaproteobacteria; Enterobacterales; Enterobacteriaceae
Also listed under: 1 other name
Description: partial RNase P RNA component class A
Rfam family: Bacterial RNase P class A
About the family: Ribonuclease P (RNase P) is a ubiquitous endoribonuclease, found in archaea, bacteria and eukarya as well as chloroplasts and mitochondria.
Source: RNAcentral